GAUGAACGCUGGCGGCGUGCCUAAUACAUGCAAGUCGAGCGAACGGACGAGAAGCUUGCUUCUCUGAUGUUAGCGGCGGACGGGUGAGUAACACGUGGAUAACCUACCUAUAAGACUGGGAUAACUCCGGGAAACCGUAGCUAAUACCGGAUAAUAUUUUGAACCGCAUGGUUCAAAAGUGAAAGACGGUCUUGCUGUCACUUAUAGAUGGAUCCGCGCUGCAUUAGCUAGUUGGUAAGGUAACGGCUUACCAAGGCAACGAUGCAUAGCCGACCUGAGAGGGUGAUCGGCCACACUGGAACUGAGACACGGUCCAGACUCCUACGGGAGGCAGCAGUAGGGAAUCUUCCGCAAUGGGCGAAAGCCUGACGGAGCAACGCCGCGUGAGUGAUGAAGGUCUUCGGAUCGUAAAACUCUGUUAUUAGGGAAGAACAUAUGUGUAAGUAACUGUGCACAUCUUGACGGUACCUAAUCAGAAAGCCACGGCUAACUACGUGCCAGCAGCCGCGGUAAUACGUAGGUGGCAAGCGUUAUCCGGAAUUAUUGGGCGUAAAGCGCGCGUAGGCGGUUUUUUAAGUCUGAUGUGAAAGCCCACGGCUCAACCGUGGAGGGUCAUUGGAAACUGGAAAACUUGAGUGCAGAAGAGGAAAGUGGAAUUCCAUGUGUAGCGGUGAAAUGCGCAGAGAUAUGGAGGAACACCAGUGGCGAAGGCGACUUUCUGGUCUGUAACUGACGCUGAUGUGCGAAAGCGUGGGGAUCAAACAGGAUUAGAUACCCUGGUAGUCCACGCCGUAAACGAUGAGUGCUAAGUGUUAGGGGGUUUCCGCCCCUUAGUGCUGCAGCUAACGCAUUAAGCACUCCGCCUGGGGAGUACGACCGCAAGGUUGAAACUCAAGGGAAUUGACGGGGACCCGCACAAGCGGUGGAGCAUGUGGUUUAAUUCGAAGCAACGCGAAGAACCUUACCAGAUCUUGACAUCCUUUGACAACUCUAGAGAUAGAGCCUUCCCCUUCGGGGGACAAAGUGACAGGUGGUGCAUGGUUGUCGUCAGCUCGUGUCGUGAGAUGUUGGGUUAAGUCCCGCAACGAGCGCAACCCUUAAGCUUAGUUGCCAUCAUUAAGUUGGGCACUCUAAGUUGACUGCCGGUGACAAACCGGAGGAAGGUGGGGAUGACGUCAAAUCAUCAUGCCCCUUAUGAUUUGGGCUACACACGUGCUACAAUGGACAAUACAAAGGGCAGCGAAACCGCGAGGUCAAGCAAAUCCCAUAAAGUUGUUCUCAGUUCGGAUUGUAGUCUGCAACUCGACUACAUGAAGCUGGAAUCGCUAGUAAUCGUAGAUCAGCAUGCUACGGUGAAUACGUUCCCGGGUCU
Molecule: ribosomal RNA, 1372 nt
Filed under: uncultured bacterium
Lineage: Bacteria
Description: bacterial SSU rRNA
Rfam family: Bacterial small subunit ribosomal RNA
Source: RNAcentral